UUAAGUCAAAGUUUGUAUGAAGUUGGAAUGUUUGCCUACGUUUGCCGCUAGGGGCGCUGCUCCAACUCUAUACUAGCUUGAGUUA
Molecule: microRNA precursor, 85 nt
Filed under: Bombyx mori (domestic silkworm)
Lineage: Eukaryota; Metazoa; Arthropoda; Insecta; Lepidoptera; Bombycidae
Description: mir-2807 microRNA precursor family
Rfam family: mir-2807 microRNA precursor family
Source: Rfam by way of RNAcentral